UCCCUGGUAGUCCAGUGGUUAAGACUUCACCUUCCAACGUAGGGGGUGCAGGUUCAAUCCCUGGCCAGGGAG
Molecule: transfer RNA, 72 nt
Organism: Ovis aries (sheep)
Lineage: Eukaryota; Metazoa; Chordata; Mammalia; Artiodactyla; Bovidae
Rfam family: tRNA
About the family: Transfer RNA (tRNA) molecules are approximately 80 nucleotides in length. Their secondary structure includes four short double-helical elements and three loops (D, anti-codon, and T loops). Further hydrogen bonds mediate the characteristic L-shaped molecular structure. tRNAs have two regions of fundamental functional importance: the anti-codon, which is responsible for specific mRNA codon recognition, and the 3' end, to which the tRNAs corresponding amino acid is attached (by aminoacyl-tRNA synthetases). tRNAs cope with the degeneracy of the genetic code in two manners: having more than one tRNA (with a specific anti-codon) for a particular amino acid; and 'wobble' base-pairing, i.e. permitting non-standard base-pairing at the 3rd anti-codon position.
Source: Rfam